CUACGGGGCGCUGCAGCAGGGAAUAUUGUGCAAUGGGCGAAAGCCUGACACAGCGACGCCGCGUGGGGGAUGACGGCCCUCGGGUUGUAAACCCCUUUUCUCAGGGAAGAAUAAUGACGGUACCUGAGGAAUAAGCCACGGCUAACUACGUGCCAGCAGCCGCGGUAAUACGUAGGUGGCGAGCGUUAUCCGGAUUUACUGGGUGUAAAGCGGGCGUAGGCGGCUUUUCAAGUCGGAUAUAAAAUCUCCCGGCUUAACUGGGAGGGAUUAUUCGAGACUGUUGGGCUAGAGAACAGCAAGGGGAAGCGGAAUUCCCGGUGUAGUGGUGAAAUGCGUAGAUAUCGGGAGGAACACCAGUGGCGAAGGCGGCUUCCUGGGCUGUUGCUGACGCUGAGGCCCGAAAGCGUGGGGAGCAAACAGGAUUAGAUACCCGAGUAGUC
Molecule: ribosomal RNA, 440 nt
Filed under: uncultured bacterium
Lineage: Bacteria
Description: partial 16S ribosomal RNA
Rfam family: Bacterial small subunit ribosomal RNA
Source: RNAcentral